CUUAACACAUGCAAGUCGAACGGAAAGGCCUCUUCGGAGGUACUCGAGUGGCGAACGGGUGAGUAACACGUGGGUGAUCUGCCCUGCACUCUGGGAUAAGCCUGGGAAACUGGGUCUAAUACCGGAUAGGACCAUGCUUUAGUGUGUGUGGUGGAAAGUUUUUUCGGUGUAGGAUGAGCCCGCGGCCUAUCAGCUUGUUGGUGGGGUAAUGGCCUACCAAGGCGGCGACGGGUAGCCGGACUGAGAGGUUGGUCGGCCACAUUGGGACUGAGAUACGGCCCAGACUCCUACGGGAGGCAGCAGUGGGGAAUAUUGCACAAUGGGCGCAAGCCUGAUGCAGCGACGCCGCGUGGGGGAUGACGGCCUUCGGGUUGUAAACUCCUUUCGCCAGGGACGAAGCGUUUUGUGACGGUACCUGGAGAAGAAGCACCGGCUAACUACGUGCCAGCAGCCGCGGUAAUACGUAGGGUGCAAGCGUUGUCCGGAAUUACUGGGCGUAAAGAGCUCGUAGGUGGUUUGUCACGUCGUCUGUGAAAUUCCACAGCUUAACUGUGGGCGUGCAGGCGAUACGGGCUGACUUGAGUACUGUAGGGGUAACUGGAAUUCCUGGUGUAGCGGUGAAAUGCGCAGAUAUCAGGAGGAACACCGAUGGCGAAGGCAGGUUACUGGGCAGUUACUGACGCUGAGGAGCGAAAGCAUGGGUAGCAAACAGGAUUAGAUACCCUGGUAGUCCAAUGCGUAAACGGUGGGCGCUAGUGUAGGACUUUUGGGGUUUCUUGUGCGUAGCUACGCAUUAAGCGCCCCGCCUGGGGAGUACGGCCGCAAGGCUAAAACUCAAAGGAAUUG
Molecule: ribosomal RNA, 846 nt
Filed under: uncultured Corynebacterium sp.
Lineage: Bacteria; Bacillati; Actinomycetota; Actinomycetes; Mycobacteriales; Corynebacteriaceae
Description: bacterial SSU rRNA
Rfam family: Bacterial small subunit ribosomal RNA
Source: RNAcentral